GGUAGAGUGCUUGGUUGGUAGAGUGCUUGCCUCGCAUGCAGGAGGCCCUGGGUUCAAUCCCCAGUACCA
This 69-nucleotide transfer RNA is filed under the name Ictidomys tridecemlineatus (thirteen-lined ground squirrel). RNAcentral describes it as "Spermophilus tridecemlineatus (thirteen-lined ground squirrel) tRNA". It matches the Rfam family "tRNA". Rfam says of the family: Transfer RNA (tRNA) molecules are approximately 80 nucleotides in length. Their secondary structure includes four short double-helical elements and three loops (D, anti-codon, and T loops). The record is from Rfam by way of RNAcentral. Lineage: Eukaryota; Metazoa; Chordata; Mammalia; Rodentia; Sciuridae.